Molecule: ribosomal RNA, 497 nt
Filed under: uncultured bacterium
Lineage: Bacteria
Description: partial 16S ribosomal RNA
Rfam family: Bacterial small subunit ribosomal RNA
Source: RNAcentral
GACGAACGCUGGCGGCGUGCCUAAUACAUGCAAGUAGAACGCUGAAGAGAGGAGCUUACUCUUCUUGGAUGAGUUGCGAACGGGUGAGUAACGCGUAGGUAACCUGCCUUGUAGCGGGGGAUAACUAUUGGAAACGAUAGCUAAUACCGCAUAACAAUGGAUGACACAUGUCAUUUAUUUGAAAGGGGCAAUUGCUCCACUACAAGAUGGACCUGCGUUGUAUUAGCUAGUAGGUGAGGUAAUGGCUCACCUAGGCGACGAUACAUAGCCGACCUGAGAUGGUGAUCGGCCACACUGGGACUGAGACACGGCCCAGACUGCUACGGGAGGCAGCAGUAGGGAAUCUUCGGCAAUGGGGGCAACCCUGACCGAGCAACGCCGCGUGAGUGAAGAAGGUUGUCGGAUCGUAAAGCUCUGUUGUAAGUCAAGAACGGGUGUGAGAGUGGAAAGUUCACACUGUGACGGUAGCUUACCAGAAAGGAACGGCUAACUACGUG